GGGCCCGCACAAGCGGUGGAGCAUGUGGUUUAAUUCGACGCAACGCGCAGAACCUUACCAGCUCUUGACAUUAUACUUGCGAACUGUGGAAACAUGGUUCUCACUUCGGGUGGGGUAUAACAGGUGCUGCAUGGCUGUCGUCAGCUCGUGUCGUGAGAUGUUGGGUUAAGUCCCGCAACGAGCGCAACCCUCAUCUUCAGUUACUAACGGGUAAAGCCGAGGACUCUGGAGAAACUGCCGGUGAUAAACCGGAGGAAGGUGGGGAUGACGUCAAGUCCUCAUGGCCCUUAUGGGCUGGGCUACACACGUGCUACAAUGGCGGUAACAAAGGGACGCAAGAUCGCAAGGUGGAGCGAAUCCCAAAAAGCCGCCUCAGUUCGGAUUGUCCUCUGCAACUCGAGGGCAUGAAGUUGGAAUCGCUAGUAAUCGUAGAUCAGCAUGCUACGGUGAAUACGUUCCCGGGCCUU
This 467-nucleotide ribosomal RNA is filed under the name uncultured bacterium. Its description in RNAcentral is "bacterial SSU rRNA". It matches the Rfam family "Bacterial small subunit ribosomal RNA", at positions 917 to 1382 of the family's 1533-position model. The record is from RNAcentral.